Molecule: non-coding RNA, 202 nt
Filed under: Corynebacterium vitaeruminis
Lineage: Bacteria; Bacillati; Actinomycetota; Actinomycetes; Mycobacteriales; Corynebacteriaceae
Source: RNAcentral
GGAAGUGACCUAGGUGGUGGUUUAUACUACGUGUGUCGCAGUGAACGGGAAUGCCGGUGAGAAUCCGGCAGCGGACCCCGCCACUGUAUGUGGCUGACCAAGGCUUCGACCACGUGUGCCCCACUGUCUUCGGAUGGGAAGGGGCGGUCGGAUUUUUGCCGAGGCCACAAGCCAGGAGACCGGCUGCGACGACUGUACGUUU